AUUGAACGCUGGCGGCAGGCCUAACACACGCAAGUCGAGCGCGAAAGUCUUCGGAUGAGUAAAGCGGCGGACGGGUGAGUAAUGCAUGGGAAUCUGCCUGGUAGUGGGGGACAACGUUUCGAAAGAGACGCUAAUACCGCAUACGCCCUACGGGGGAAAGGGGGGGAUCUUCGGACCUCUCGCUAUCAGAUGAGCCCAUGUCAGAUUAGCUAGUUGGUAGGGUAAAGGCCUACCAAGGCGACGAUCUGUAACUGGUCUGAGAGGAUGAUCAGUCACGCUGGAACUGAGACACGGUCCAGACUCCUACGGGAGGCAGCAGUGGGGAAUAUUGGACAAUGGGGGAAACCCUGAUCCAGCCAUGCCGCGUGUGUGAAGAAGGCCCUAGGGUUGUAAAGCACUUUCAGUGGGGAGAAAGGUUAUUCACCUAAUACGUGAGUAAAUUGAUGCUACCCACAGAAGAAGCACCGGCUAACUCCGUGCCAGCCGCCGCGGUAA
RNAcentral lists this ribosomal RNA (495 nucleotides) under uncultured bacterium. RNAcentral describes it as "partial 16S ribosomal RNA". It matches the Rfam family "Bacterial small subunit ribosomal RNA", at positions 30 to 523 of the family's 1533-position model. The record is from RNAcentral.